UGAGGAAUAUUGGUCAAUGGGCGCAAGCCUGAACCAGCCAUCUCGCGUGCAGGAAGACGGCCCUAUGGGUUGUAAACUGCUUUUCCAGGGGGAGAAUUUUUCUGUCGUGACAGGAAUUGACGGUACCCUGGGAAUAAGCAUCGGCUAACUCCGUGCCAGCAGCCGCGGUAAUACGGAGGAUGCGAGCGUUAUCCGGAUUUAUUGGGUUUAAAGGGUGCGUAGGCGGAUUGAUAAGUCAGUGGUGAGGACCUGCAGCUUAACUGUAGACUUGCCGUUGAUACUGUCAGUCUUGAGUGUGGUCAAGGUAGGCGGAAUGUGUAAUGUAGCGGUGAAAUGCUUAGAUAUUACACAGAACACCGAUUGCGAAGGCAGCUUACUGGGCCAUUACUGACGCUGAUGCACGAAAGCGUGGGGAUCGAACAG
This 423-nucleotide ribosomal RNA is filed under the name uncultured bacterium. RNAcentral describes it as "bacterial SSU rRNA". It matches the Rfam family "Bacterial small subunit ribosomal RNA", at positions 355 to 775 of the family's 1533-position model. The record is from RNAcentral.